ACUAUCUUCCUUUUCAGACAAUCAAAGUUCACUAUGGAGUAAGUGGGGUCCCUUGCCCACCUACUACUUCUUUGAUUAUUUUUGGACCCCACCACCGUUCAUGUCAGUCCGUUGUUAUGCAAGAAGGACGCAACUGUAAUUUUAAGAUUGUAACUGAGGCUGAAUUUCUUUUUCAAAAUUUGAUUUAAAAAAAAAACAACUUAUCUCUUAGUGUUUUUAAAUAUCUUUGAUAUAUUAAUAUAAAAAAAUUAAAAUUAAAAAAAUAUUAUUUUAAUAUAUUUCUAAAAAAAACACUAUAAAAAACAAUAUUUACUGCUCUUUCACUCUUUCAAUAGCCGUUUGCCCAACUAGCCGUUAACUCCACCUCGUUCUCCUUUCAAAAAGGCUGCCCCUCUCCUAACGGUCACAAAACGGUCAGCUUCUCACAGCCACUCGAUUUUUCGUUUUUUGUUUUCAACUUUCUUCACUUUUUGUUUGGUUGUGAUUUUGCUUUCCUUGGAAGGAAAAUCCAGUUGCUUCUUGCUUUAGCUGAAAUGACAAUAUUACCCUUCUCAGCUUCGAGGGGGUGGCAUCGGGAAUGCUUGAUUCUGCAUAACGAAUAUUCCGGGAAAAACAAGGAGAUCACGACCAUCCAAAGCAAGGAAAAGGGGUGUCAAAUCAAGAAAGUGAUCUGACUUCUUCAUUGUCCAUCUUGCUCGAGCUAGCCACCUGCUUGUAACGAACCAAUGGAAUUUAUAGCUUUUUAACUUUAUAACAAAAGGAAAUAGACAGAUCAAUACAAUUUUUUAUGACUAUGAAAUACCUUUUUUAUUAUUAUUUCUGAAAUCUUUCUUCAAUGGAGUUGAAUUUUAAACAUGUUAUUCGUACUCGGAUAGACGUGACUAUGUAGAUUUUUUUUUCACAAUCUUUACUAAAUUCGAGCUCUACAUUUAUAAUUUUUUUUUAAAAUAAAACUUUCUUUUGGUUUUGAAUCUAGAUUAUUAAUAUAAAAUUAACCCUAAUAGUCUUGUAUGCAUGUUUGAGAUUGUGAUAUUGAUUGCAGUUUAAAGUAUUUUUUAUUUAGAAAUGCAUCAAAAUGAUGUUUUUUUUUAUAAAAAAAUUAUUUUUGUGAUCAACACAUCAAAACGAUCUGAAAAUAUAAAAAAAAAUAAUUUUUAGGAUAAAAAAAAUUAAAACAUGAGAAAACACGGUUUUAACUGCAUUUCCAAAUAGUUUCCUAAUAGCUUUUAAUAAAAUUAUUUCGAUUCUUUAUGAUUUUUUAUUAUUAUUAUGUAAUAAAGUAGGUUUAUAUUUAGCCAAAUAAAAAUUUAAAAUGUGCUCAGAUUGUAAAUACCAAUACUUAUAAUAUAAAAGAGAAAUAAAUAUAAAAAAGUCACAUUUGAAUCCACCUAAAAAGAUAAAAAUUCUCUCUUUUAAAAAUUUUUUCUUUUGAUUUUUGAAUAUUUGUUAUUAGGAUUAAUACCAACAUUUUAUAAGUAAUAAACCUUUUUCUUUAUUAGGACGCGAAUAAUUAGCACAUCCUAUAAAAGGAUGGUGGUUACUUUGGUCUUUACACGUGCUGGUGGUGAAGCUCACUGAGCUUGACCACAUGUGGUAUUUUCUUCUAGCUAGCCCUUACCAUACACAUUCUCUUGUUCUGAUUAGGUGAAGGCGCAGCUAAUUAUUUUUAAUUCAGGGACCAAAAAAGAAAUAUAAAGAAAAAGAUGAUCCCCCCCCCCCCCCCCGAUGGUGAGAGGAUAAGAACAGAGGGUACGAACCGCCAACCAAAACCUGUCAACAUCUCUCACUGAUCUUUCCAGAACAAACCCCCUUACCCCUCCCUCACUCGUUUGCUUGUGUAAUGUUUGUCGUUCGGUAUAUUAAAAUAAUAUACUUUUUUAUUUUUCAAAACUUAUUUUUAAUAUAAAUACAUUAAAACAACUUAAAAAUACUAAUAAAAAAAUUAACUUAAAAAAAAAACAUGAUACUGUCACAUAAGAAAAAUACCGCCCUAACCCUUAUAUCCUAUCCCUUUCUAAUCACGUUAUCAAGCUAAUAUUAUAUUCCUAAACUUAUCACACUUCACUUAGAAUAUUUCUCCUAUUCCAUUCAAAACUGAAUAAUAAUAAUAAAAUAGAGGAAUAACAACGAAGUGUAUGAUUAUUAUGAUGGGAUUAAUUCUCAACCAGCAUCGUUAUAAUUGUAUUUAUCAUUCUGAUUAUUCUAUAUUAAAAUUAGAAAAAACAAUUCGAUUUAUUCGUUAUCUUGAGAUUCAUGACAAUGAACAGAUUAUCUCUCCACUUACUAUAUUAAAAUAUGAAGUAUUUAAUUUUAAGGGAUAUAAUUUAAUUAAUCAGGUUCUGAAUUUGAUCUUUAAAAAUCAUCAAUUCAAGUAUCAUAAAUUUCAGGGUCAUUAAAGAUUUACAUAUUCAUUAAUUUCAAGAUCUUAAUAAAUUAAUUGAUGUACGUAUAAAUUAACUCGAAUAUUCACAAUUAAAAAAUAAAUAAAAAGUAUUUAAGUGCUAAACACUCUUUUCUUCCUCAAGUAUACAAGUACGCAUUAACUUUAUUAGUGAAAUAUUUUAAAUCUUAUUAAAUCCUUUUAAACAAGUCUGAGAUAUAUAAUGUUUUCCUAAAUAUUUCUGAUAUUUUUCAUCUUUUUUAAAUAGGAAGAGAUUAAAAAAAACUUAGCAACAACUUUGAUUAUUAAUUUGGGGGAUACGGUGUAAGUUAUUUAGCAUAUGCUUGAGAAUACAGUAAAGAUUUUUAAAUUUUUUUUUUUUACUUAAAAAUAUAUUAAAAUAAUAUAUUUUUUAUUUUUUAAAAUUUAUUUUUAAUAUUAAUAACAAUAUUAAAAAAAAAUUUAAAAAAUAUAAAAAAAAUUAACUUAAAACUAAAAGCUGUAGUUUAUUUAUUAUUAUUGUACCUGUAAAUAAAUAAAUAAAAAUGCCGGUCCGUGACGUGGCUUAAUUUAAUGAUUAUGAUAGUCAAGCAGCAAAAAAAUAAAAUAAAAAGACAACACAUUUUUUCUAAGUGGCCAAAUAAUUGAAAAACUUUUAUCAUCUAUAUAUAAAACCACCUUAUCUCUGUUCCUCUCAUUAAACUUUUGCUUUGUUUGCCUGAGUGUACUCUCCUACUUUCAGAGAGAGCACAGAGAGAAAAACAAACCAACAACCCAUCUUACAAGAAAGAAAAUGGAGGGCAAAGAAGAGGAUGUUAAGCUCGGAGCUAACAAGUUCUCAGAAAGACAGCCUAUUGGGACAUCAGCUCAAACAGACAAGGAUUACAAAGAGGCGCCACCGGCUCCUUUGUUUGAGCCCGGUGAACUCAAGUCAUGGUCCUUUUACAGGGCUGGUAUUGCUGAGUUCAUAGCCACUUUCUUGUUCCUUUACAUCACUGUCUUGACUGUCAUGGGUGUUACUAAGCCUGGUACCAGCAAAUGUUCCACUGUUGGUAUUCAAGGCAUUGCUUGGGCUUUUGGUGGCAUGAUCUUUGCCCUUGUUUACUGCACUGCUGGUAUCUCAGGUAAUAAAUGAUAAAGAUGCCUCCUUCUCUCUCUCUCUCUCUUUUUGUUAUACCUGCUUAGCCUUGGAUAAUUCUCUCUUGUUUUUUCUAAAUAAGCCUUCUUACUGGGUUCUGCCUCUUAAAUGUUCAGUCUCUCUUGCUAAUACCGGUUUUCUCUGGUUUUCCUUCUUUUUACCUGUUAAAGUCCAGGAUGGUGUAUAGUACUAACUAGAUCUGCAUGUGCUCAGGUGGACACAUCAACCCAGCUGUGACCUUUGGGCUGUUUUUGGCAAGGAAGCUCUCUUUGACAAGGGCUGUGUUUUACAUCAUCAUGCAGUGCCUUGGUGCAAUCUGUGGUGCUGGUGUAGUGAAGGGUCUCCAAGGAAGCCACAACUACGAGCUUCAGGGUGGCGGAGCUAAUGUUGUGAAUCAUGGAUACACCAAGGGUGAUGGCCUUGGUGCGGAGAUAGUCGGUACCUUUGUUCUUGU
RNAcentral lists this long non-coding RNA (3972 nucleotides) under Populus trichocarpa (black cottonwood). RNAcentral's name for it is "long non-coding RNA (PTRI_LNC000976)". Lineage: Eukaryota; Viridiplantae; Streptophyta; Magnoliopsida; Malpighiales; Salicaceae. The record is from RNAcentral.